Molecule: long non-coding RNA, 1173 nt
Filed under: Triticum aestivum (bread wheat)
Lineage: Eukaryota; Viridiplantae; Streptophyta; Magnoliopsida; Poales; Poaceae
Description: long non-coding RNA (TAES_LNC008886)
Source: RNAcentral
GUAUUUCAUUUUCAUUAAUGAGACCAGAUGUGACCGUACUUGUAGCAGGAAAUGUUGACGCAUCAUGCGAGAAUGCUGCAUAGUUAGAGCUAGUUGGGUUGUCUGUUGAACCAAAGUUGUCCAAACAUAUGUCAGCUUAAUGGUUUUGACGGUACCGACUAUCAUGGUUAAAACAAUAAAACAAUUUAAGCUUGCCUGAUGAAUGAAGGGCAUGUGCAUUUUCAUCUCGGACAUUAGGUUGUUUUUUCCGCCAACAGGAAGCCCUUUCCAGGGCGUUUCUUUGGUCUACUUUGGAAAAAUAUUCUGUCAAUCGUAUUUUCCUUGGUGUCAUUAACGUCAAAUAAUCAUGACAUUCAUGUCAUUAUCUCUAAAGCCAAAUGAGAAAACACAACUUGACAUCUAACGGUCAUGUGGAUGGUGAGAUAAUAUUACCUUCUUUAUCUCCCACACAAAGGACACCCGAUGUGACCGUAGCUUCAUGAGGGUAUGUUACAUCAUUAGGCGAGACUGAUGUAUAGUCCUAGCUAGCUGAAUUAUAUGAUUCAACAAGAUUGGUCAGUACUUAUUUAAAUUGCGUAAUAAGUGACUACCUUCGUGCAAACACAGUGCAUACGGGACGUGGAUCAAUUUACCAACCAUGAUAAUCUCGUGUGGGUUUAUUUAUCUCCCUAUCUUCGAGAACAUUUGUGAUAUCACAUAGAGACUGGGGACGGGAUGACUUCCCAUUGACUUGUUGGUUAGCCGAACCAUCUGACUUGUUAUUGCGAUAAGCCACCCGCCUACGAGCGUUGAUAAGAUCCCUAUGAUCUAAUAAGCAACAUAGUAUGAGCAUCAUAUCAUCUAUAAUCAGGGAUAUAGAUUAAUACAACGAAUCAUGUGCAUACUAUACGUAUGCACAUCAAACUAAGAGCAGCCAUCAAGCUCACUAGAUUUUGCAAGUACCGGCUGAUUCUCAUCUUGUAAGCUGACAAUAUCCUCAUUAUUUUUCUUCCGAUAAGCUGCACGCCUCCUUGCAUUGUACUGCUCCCUUGCUUCCUCAGCGUAUUUUUUGCAUUCAUUAUUUAGAGAAACAGUUUCAAGCAGUUCGGAAGCUGUGUCGUCUGCAUCAUGUUAUAAGUACAAAUCAAAAAACAAAUAAAACACACUGAAGCACUGCCGAAUACGCCGGUUGGG